UGUGAAUUGCAGAACUCAGUGAAUCAUCAAAUCUUUGAACGCAAAUUGCACUAAUAGUAAUGUUAGUACAUUUAUUUGAGUGUCGUUUAAUAAUCUAAUCAUUAUUAUAAUGAAUGUCUAUUUACAGUCAUUUUAACAUUAUAUAAUCC
RNAcentral lists this ribosomal RNA (149 nucleotides) under uncultured Vannellidae. RNAcentral's name for it is "5.8S ribosomal RNA". The stretch from base 1 to 85 matches the Rfam family "5.8S ribosomal RNA", at positions 66 to 154 of the family's 154-position model. Rfam says of the family: 5.8S ribosomal RNA (5.8S rRNA) is a component of the large subunit of the eukaryotic ribosome. It is transcribed by RNA polymerase I as part of the 45S precursor that also contains 18S and 28S rRNA. The record is from RNAcentral. Lineage: Eukaryota; Discosea; Flabellinia; Vannellidae.